Molecule: non-coding RNA, 25 nt
Filed under: Mus musculus (house mouse)
Lineage: Eukaryota; Metazoa; Chordata; Mammalia; Rodentia; Muridae
Source: RNAcentral
UGUUGAGAAUGUUGGAACCCUUUCU